UACGGAGGGUGCAAGCGUUAAUCGGAAUUACUGGGCGUAAAGCGCACGUAGGUGGUUUGUUAAGCCAGCUGUGAAAUCCCCGGGCUCAACCUGGGAACUGCGUUUGUGACUGCACGGCUAGAGUACGGUAGAGGGGGGUGGAAUUCCUGGUGUAGCAGUGAAAUGCGUAGAUAUCAGGAGGAACAUCGAUGGCGAAGGCAGCCCCCUGGACCUGUACUGACGCUCAUGCACGAAAGCGUGGGGAGCAAACAGG
Molecule: ribosomal RNA, 253 nt
Filed under: uncultured prokaryote
Description: partial 16S ribosomal RNA
Rfam family: Bacterial small subunit ribosomal RNA
Source: RNAcentral